RNAcentral lists this ribosomal RNA (477 nucleotides) under uncultured bacterium. RNAcentral describes it as "SSU rRNA". It matches the Rfam family "Bacterial small subunit ribosomal RNA", at positions 26 to 518 of the family's 1533-position model. The record is from RNAcentral.
AGGACAAACGCUGGCGGGGUGCAUGAGACAUGCAAGUCGAACGAGGCACUGUUGAGCUUGCUCGACGGUGUCCUAGUGGCGGACGGCUGAGUAACGCGUAGGUGACUUGCCCCGAAGUGGGGAAUAACUGCCCGAAAGGGUGGCUAAUACCGCAUGUGGUGGAACGUUCACUCGUUCCAGUAAAGCCGCAAGGCGCUUCGGGAGGGGCCUGCGUCCGAUUAGCUCGUUGGUGGGGUAACGGCGUCACCAAGGCGACGAUCGGUAGGUGGUCUGAGAGGACGAUCACCCAGACUGGGACUGAGACACGGCCCAGACUCCUACGGGAGGCAGCAGUCGGGAAUUUUGCGCAAUGGACGAAAGUCUGACGCAGCAACGCCGCGUGAGGGAUGACGGCCUUCGGGUUGUAACCUCUUUAUCAGGGACGAUAAUGACGGUACCUGAUGAAUAAGUCACGGCUAACUACGUGCCAGCAGCCGC